GUAUUCUUUGCUUUCAUCAUUUAUCCAUCUAGUUGACUUUUUAUUUGUGUUGUUCAUUUGCCACAUGCAUCGCAGUUUAUCUGCUUUAACAAUAUGAUCUUUUAUUGGACAUGUUUACUGGAAUUUUGCAUAUGACCAUGUUCUUCUAGGAAAUUGACACUUGUUAUUCUGUAUCAUUAAAGGCAUUUUUCUUGCGGGAUGUGAUGUAUGAUU
Molecule: non-coding RNA, 213 nt
Organism: Pelobates cultripes (western spadefoot toad)
Lineage: Eukaryota; Metazoa; Chordata; Amphibia; Anura; Pelobatidae
Source: the annotation of a GenBank genome assembly